This 860-nucleotide ribosomal RNA is filed under the name Aporcelaimellus obtusicaudatus. RNAcentral's name for it is "SSU rRNA". It matches the Rfam family "Eukaryotic small subunit ribosomal RNA", at positions 104 to 964 of the family's 1831-position model. The record is from RNAcentral. Lineage: Eukaryota; Metazoa; Nematoda; Enoplea; Dorylaimida; Aporcelaimidae.
CAACAGCCACCGUUUACUAGAAUAUAGUUAUCCUACUUGGAUAACUGUGGCAAUUCUAGAGCUAAUACAUGCAAAAAAGCUCCGCCCGCAAGGAACGAGCGCAUUUAUUAGAAUAAAAACCAAUCGGGUUUCGGCCCGUAAUUUGGUGAAUCUGAAUAACUUUGCCAAUCGCACAGUCCUAGUACUGGCGAUGUAUCUUUCAAGUGUCUGCCUUAUCAACUUUCGAUGGUAGGUUAUACGCCUACCAUGGUAGUAACGGGUAACGGAGAAUAAGGGUUCGACUCCGGAGAGGGAGCCUGAGAAACGGCUACCACAUCCAAGGAAGGCAGCAGGCGCGCAAAUUACCCACUUCCAGAACGGAGAGGUAGUGACGAAAAAUAACGAGACAGUCCUCUUCGAGGUCUGUCAUCGGAAUGGGUACAAUUUAAAUCCUUUAACGAGGAUCUAUUGGAGGGCAAGUCUGGUGCCAGCAGCCGCGGUAAUUCCAGCUCCAAUAGCGUAUAUUAAAGUUGUUGCGGUUAAAACGCUCGUAGUUGGAUCUGCGGCCUCGGAGAACGGUCCCCCGAAAGGGUGGUCACUGUCUCUCCUAGCCUAAAUUCGAGUCGUCUCUAGGUGCUCUUUACCGGGUGCUUAGAGUGACUAGAACGUUUACUUUGAAAAAAUUAGAGUGCUUAAAGCAGGCGAAAUAGCCUGAAUAAGGUGCAUGGAAUAAUGGAAUAGGACCUCGGUUCUAUUUUGUUGGUUUUCGGAACCCGAGGUAAUGAUUAAGAGGAACAGACGGGGGCAUUCGUAUUCCGGCGCUAGAGGUGAAAUUCUUGGACCGCCGGAAGACGGACGACUGCGAAAGCAUUUGCCAAGAA